GGGGAAAAAGUCGUAACAAGGUCUCCGUAGGUGAACC
This 37-nucleotide ribosomal RNA is filed under the name Cladosporium cladosporioides. Its description in RNAcentral is "partial 18S ribosomal RNA". Lineage: Eukaryota; Fungi; Ascomycota; Dothideomycetes; Cladosporiales; Cladosporiaceae. The record is from RNAcentral.